UUUUUUUUUUUUUGCUUCGAGACCAGCGCAGAGGUGAUUGGGGAGAAGGUAAAGAGCAAAAUGACCAUCAGCAGCAAAGCAGUCUCCAAGUCUCACAACAUCUUGGCAAAUUUGACAAGCACAAGUGCAUAACUAUGUUUAUGAACAAAACAAGAAUUGCAUAGAUGUCGCCAUAGCUCCUAGCAAUAAAAGGCCAGCAAAAGCAAAAUGGAAUCAUCGAAUGAAAUGAAAUGCUAUCAGCAAAGGCAUUGAGAUACGCGAAGAACAUGCGUGCAUUAUGCAUCUGCUAGCCUGCCUGCUCUUGGCACUACACUGGUACCAAAUUGGACAGGCAGAGGCCAUGUGAUGUUCCUUGUAUCGAUAUCUCCAUAAAAAAGAAGGCAACAGCUAAAAUUUUUGCUGUCUAAUUACUAUCGAUGAACUCUUUUAUUUUGCAGUACUACUGUCCAUAUGCCUUCCUUGUUAGCAUUUUUUUGUUACAAGUUUCAAUCAGAAUUGUUGACACGAGCGUGAUGUUCCCUUUGAUCAACUACUCUACCAGCAACUGUUGCCGGCGGUUCCUUCUUGCUGCGACUUGAUGCAAGUGUCCGGCACAAGGAUAUCGAACCCGCUGAGCGUCCACUCGGCCUCGGCGUUCUCGCUGACGUAUAUCUCCGUGCCCACGUCGAGCGACGUCCACCGCCUCCUGGCCGCCGGCGUGCCCGGGUCCUGGUAGAAGUAGAGCGCCUGGGACAGGGCGCCGACGUCGAGCUCCCAGGCCCUGGGGUCGCCGACCCAGCCCUGCCCCUUGGCCGUGGGGUAGCCGAACUCGCCCCACACCGGGUGCGGCAGGAGCUGCAGGAUCUCCUGCGGCUGCGGGUUGCUGUAGGCGUCGCAGUAGGUGGUGGGCUGCUCGGCGCGCCGCGCGUUCCCGGGGGAGCAGUAGACGUGGUACGCGCCGUAGGGGAAGCGGGCGGCGUCGGUGCGGUGCACGCGGGUGCCGUUCCGGAAGGUGUGCCACGGCGGGCACUGGUCGAUCCUCGACGGCCGGCACCACGCCGGCGUCUCCGGGUUGAUGAUCAUCUCGCUGUACCGCGUCACGUCCGUCGCGGCGUCGCCGUCGCACGGCCGGCCGUCGUUCUUCCAGCAGCUGCCCAUGUCCAUCAGGUAGAACUGGCUGUUGGGACCGCCGCCCUGCUUCACCUCCAGCGUCACGCGCACCUUGAAGUCCGGCGAUUCCGGCACCUGUUUGGUCAUGCCCCUGGUGUCGUAGUGGUAGCCGCCGGAGAAUCCCCUGGUGGCGUCGGAGCGCAGGUACAGCAUCAGCCACGGGUACUCGUUUGACGUCCGCAGCUUGUGGUGGAACGCCCACCCGCCGGCGCCGGCGCUCGCCGCCACCUCCUUCUCCCACGUGACGGAGUAGUAGGACACGUCGCCGCUGCCGGGAUCCGCGGCGUCCAGCUCGUAGGUGCCGAAGAGACCGCCGCGCAGCCACCGGCCGGCGUCGUCGAGCGCGGUGCGGUUAUGGAACACCAGCGGCUGGUUCAUGCACCGGCCGGCGCCCCCCGGGCAGGGGAACCGGGAAGUCUGCGGGAACGGGCGUGCCCGGCGGCCGUUCUCCGGGCAGAUGGCCGCGGUGGUGUCGAGGUUGCCGUUCUUGAGCAUGACCAUCCAGAACUGCCACGGCGCGGGGUUGUCAGGCACCUGGCACAGGCCACCGAGGUAGAGCUCCUUGGCCGCCGCGUAGCGGUCGACGUCGGUGACGGUCGCGUUCGCCGGCGCCCCCGGGAACGGGUUGCCCGCGCGGAGGUCGUUGUCGGCGUCGGUCACCCGGUGCACCACCUCGUACACCGGCUGGCCGUGCUCGCCAGCGCUAGUCUCUGCAAAGAUUUAGCUAGCCUUGCUGAAUAAUCGAAAUUCGAAUCUUGGAAAACCGCGGCGUGUGGAACUGGAAGAAUGGAAGGGCAGGAGAAGAUGAGAGAGAGCAUCAACCGAGAUCGAAGCAGUCGGCGCCGCGGGGGCUGCCCAUGCCGGGGGCCUCCUGGCCGACCUCGUUGCAGAAGUUCCAGGCCUCCCAGGCCACGCGGAGGCCGUCGCGCCGCAUGCCGGGGUCCCCGACCGCGGAGACAUAGCCGCCGCCGCCGCCGCCGUGCGUCCUGAUGGCCCGUACUGCCUCGCAGAACGAGAGAACGGCGAUGAGGAGGGAGGCCGGCCACACGGCCAUUUUGGGGGAAAGGUGCUGAUGCGGAAGGCCGAGCUGAACUCCACCAAACUGUGGCGAGGAUGCCGAGGCCCCACAGCCGCGAGAGGGGCCAAAGCCACGGAGGCGGCUAGAAUGGAGCGUAGCAGCGCAGGGGCGGCGGGGCAGGGCUGUCGGCUGUCGCGACGAGCGGCGGCGGAGGCGGGGCUGGAGAAGAGCGGAUGCUGCGCGGAUAAGGCCGAGAACAAAGCUGAUGGUAUGAGCAGAAAACUCAACAGAGCAAGGCUGGGGAAGCACGACGCAACGCGUGCAGAAAGUUGGUGAUUCCAGGAAGCAUUGGUGUUGGGGGGGUGAUGAGGUGCUAAAGCAUCUUUGCCUUCCUGUUGCUAUGAACAAAAUCACGCCAAUCAAAUAAAAACCCAGGCAAAUUUUGUAAGCAUAACCAUGCUUAUGUGCCAAAAAGAAAAGGAGAUGGCCAUAUUUUGUAAAUAUGCAGCACCAUCAGAUCAAGAUGCUCAUCAACGGCAAAGCAGUCUCGUCAUCUGAAGCAACAGGGAUGAGCAUCUAAUAGUAGUUCUUGACAAGCAGCUUUGUCACAUUUGACAUAGUGCUGCUGAUGGUCAACGGCAGCAGCGCAGCAGUCUGAGUCGCACAACGUUCUUGACAAAUUUGACAAGCAUAACUAUGUUUAUAUGAACAAAAUAAGGUUGUAUAGAUGUCGCCAUUAGCUCCUAGCAAAAAAGAAAAGGCCAGCAAAAGCAAAAUGGAAUCAUCAAAUGAGAUGAAAUGCUAUCAGCAAAGGCAUUGAUGCGCGAAGAACAUGCGUGCAUUAUGCAACUGCUAGCCUGCCUGCUCUUUGCACUACACUGGUACCAAAUUGGACAGGCAGAGCCAUGUGACCGCCACACCCCACUCAUAGUGACCUACAAGACCAUCAUCACCUUCAGUUCACCCACCAUCCCCCCUCCAAACCAACUCCAGCUGACCACAACAGUUGGAACAUAAGACAAACAAGUAAUAAACGUGCUCAACAGACUCAAACCAAAACUCAAGUGAUGUCCACAGACCAUAAUGAUCACACAGCAAAGGUAAACUAAAAACGCUUUUAAUCAAGUCCACGGUACAUAAAGGAUUACAUGCUGAUUUUUUUUUGGGGGGUUUUCAUAGUUCCGAAUAGAAUUACAUAAGGCGAGGACGUGAGUCUCGCUGGUACCAUACAUAAUUUACAUCCAGGUUCCUUAGUAGCAGUAAAAAGUAGUGUUCUAGGAUGAGACGAGCGCUAAUACAACACAGAGACAUCU
Molecule: long non-coding RNA, 3480 nt
Filed under: Setaria viridis
Lineage: Eukaryota; Viridiplantae; Streptophyta; Magnoliopsida; Poales; Poaceae
Description: long non-coding RNA (SVIR_LNC001251)
Source: RNAcentral